GGGGAGUGGAGCUACAUGCAGUCGAGCGGUAACAGAAAGUAGCUUGCUACUUUGCUGACGAGCGGCGGACGGGUGAGUAAUGCUUGGGAACAUGCCUUGAGGUGGGGGACAACAGUUGGAAACGACUGCUAAUACCGCAUAAUGUCUACGGACCAAAGGGGGCUUCGGCUCUCGCCUUUAGAUUGGCCCAAGUGGGAUUAGCUAGUUGGUGAGGUAAUGGCUCACCAAGGCAACGAUCCCUAGCUGGUUUGAGAGGAUGAUCAGCCACACUGGAACUGAGACACGGUCCAGACUCCUACGGGAGGCAGCAGUGGGGAAUAUUGCACAAUGGGCGAAAGCCUGAUGCAGCCAUGCCGCGUGUGUGAAGAAGGCCUUCGGGUUGUAAAGCACUUUCAGUCAGGAGGAAAGGGUGUGAGUUAAUACCUCACAUCUGUGACGUUACUGACAGAAGAAGCACCGGCUAACUCCGUGCCAGCAGCCGCGGUAAUACGGAGGGUGCGAGCGUUAAUCGGAAUUACUGGGCGUAAAGCGUACGCAGGCGGUUUGUUAAGCGAGAUGUGAAAGCCCCGGGCUCAACCUGGGAACUGCAUUUCGAACUGGCAAACUAGAGUGUGAUAGAGGGUGGUAGAAUUUCAGGUGUAGCGGUGAAAUGCGUAGAGAUCUGAAGGAAUACCGAUGGCGAAGGCAGCCACCUGGGUCAACACUGACGCUCAUGUACGAAAGCGUGGGGAGCAAACGGGAUUAGAUACCCCGGUAGUCCACGCCGUAAACGAUGUCUACUAGAAGCUCGGAACCUCGGUUCUGUUUUUCANAGCUAACGCAUUAAGUAGACCGCCUGGGGAGUACGGC
This 849-nucleotide ribosomal RNA is filed under the name Pseudoalteromonas sp. BU. Its description in RNAcentral is "bacterial SSU rRNA". It matches the Rfam family "Bacterial small subunit ribosomal RNA", at positions 41 to 886 of the family's 1533-position model. Lineage: Bacteria; Pseudomonadati; Pseudomonadota; Gammaproteobacteria; Alteromonadales; Pseudoalteromonadaceae. The record is from RNAcentral.